GGCUUGUUAGCUCAGUUGGUAGAGCACUGCACCGGUAUCGCAGCGGUUAUGGGUUCGAAUCCCGUACAGGCCU
Molecule: transfer RNA, 73 nt
Filed under: Stylophora pistillata
Lineage: Eukaryota; Metazoa; Cnidaria; Anthozoa; Scleractinia; Pocilloporidae
Description: tRNA-Thr
Rfam family: tRNA
About the family: Transfer RNA (tRNA) molecules are approximately 80 nucleotides in length. Their secondary structure includes four short double-helical elements and three loops (D, anti-codon, and T loops). Further hydrogen bonds mediate the characteristic L-shaped molecular structure. tRNAs have two regions of fundamental functional importance: the anti-codon, which is responsible for specific mRNA codon recognition, and the 3' end, to which the tRNAs corresponding amino acid is attached (by aminoacyl-tRNA synthetases). tRNAs cope with the degeneracy of the genetic code in two manners: having more than one tRNA (with a specific anti-codon) for a particular amino acid; and 'wobble' base-pairing, i.e. permitting non-standard base-pairing at the 3rd anti-codon position.
Source: Rfam by way of RNAcentral